GCCAGGCACAGUGGCUCAUGCCUGUAAUCCCACCAGCUUGGGAGGCUGAGGUAGGAGGAUCAUGAGUUCAAAGCCAGUCUCAGCAACUCAGUGAAACCCUGUCUCUA
Molecule: small RNA, 107 nt
Filed under: Marmota monax (woodchuck)
Lineage: Eukaryota; Metazoa; Chordata; Mammalia; Rodentia; Sciuridae
Source: RNAcentral